GAACACCCCUAGUUGGCAACACUGGACCAGUUCGAUCAGCUGGGGGUCAGGUAAACAGGUGUGGUGUCUAACAACCUCACUAUUAACUACUACUCAACGAUCAUUUACCUGAUUUACUUCAUGUAGAUAAUUCUUGAGCUGUUAAAGAUUUUAGUCACUGACAAUAAAUGCUAGCCCACAGAGCUUUGCGACUGUUUCUAGUGGUUGGAGUGUAUUCGCAAUCUGCUUUACGUUCCAUCAUGGCUUGGAGGUCUCAUGGACGCGAUAAUGCUGAUAUGGUUAGGCAUCUGAAAGCCAACCAGAUUAUCCGCUCUCCUGAGGUAGAGCGCGUGAUGUUGAGAGUUGAUCGAGGAUUGUACUCUAAGCACAACCCAUACAUGGACUCUCCACAGGGCAUUGGCUAUGGUGUUACUAUCAGUGCACCUCACAUGCAUGCACAUGCCCUAGAAUUGCUUAGUAAUCAUCUUAAGAAAGGUAAUCGUGCCAUGGAUGUUGGCUCGGGCAGUGGCUACCUUACUGCUUGUAUGGGUCACAUGGUUGGUGAAACUGGCCGAGCAGUAGGAAUUGACCACAUAAAUGAACUUAUCAAAUUUUCUCAAGAUAACAUCCAAAAGGAUAGUCCAGAGUUGUUGACAUCUGGUGUUGUCAAGCUUGUUGUUGGUGAUGGGCGAUUAGGCCACACAGAGGAAGCACCGUUUAAUGCUAUCCAUGUGGGAGCCGCUGCCCCGACUCUACCCCAGGCUCUGGUUGAUCAGCUCGCUCCAGGUGGACGUCUCAUUAUUCCAAUUGGUCCAGAAGGAGCAAAUCAGAAUUUAGAACAGAUUGACAAACUGGAGGAUGGGAGCAUCAAACGACAAGUGUUGAUGGGCGUCAUCUACGUUCCUCUCACCGAUAAGGACUAUCAGUGGCCCGGCAGAAUUUAGCCUACUGGAAACAGCAACUUGGGGUUUCAUUAGCCUGCAGGAGACACCAUCUUCACCUAUAGGAUGCGAGGUGGAAAUACUAACCUUGGAGGAGCAUAGGUGUGGCAGGAGUGUACACCACGCCAUUUGUCUCAUUCCACAGACGGGAGCUGUGAGUCACGCCAGCUGAAUCAUAAUUCCUCGCAGGUGCUGCUCCCUCCUUUAGUUGCCACCUCCGACUGCACCACCACAGCCACCUACCACUACGCCUACGCCCGCACCUCCACCACGCCUACGCCCGCACCUCCACCACAGCCACCUACCACUACGCCUCCGCCCGCACCUCAGCCUUACAAAGCCGCUUCCUAAAAGCCUGAUUUGUUUAUUAACUUUUUGCAACUGUUUACUACCAAGACCUUCCUCUCACAGGUUCAUACUAAGAAAGGAUUGGCUUUUAUUUUUUAUCUUGUUAAUAUGAGAGGGAUUGAGAAGUCCUUCACCUUAGGUGUGAUUGUGGCGAUGAUAUAAUAACAGUACUACAUUAUUGCUUAGUUAUAAUCAUUCUGUGAGGAAAUUAAAAGGGAUUUGAAUAAGAUUACUGUAGCCAGUAUGAUUGAUGUCAUUGAAUGGUGCACAUUAAAUAGAUUGUAAUUUACUACAUUAAUACUCAGUAACCUUGAAAAAGACCAAGAUUAGCUUACAGAUAUGACAUGCUCCAUAACUUUUAGUGAUUGCUCAAGGCUGCUUUGUGUAGUUGCAUCUUGGGAGUCUCUGCUUUUCAGGAUAUUUUCCAAACACCAGACAAACUAGCAAGAACCGUGGGAAGAGUGGCUGUCUUUGAGUAAUGGGUAAAUGGGGGAAAAUCUACAGAGAUUGGUAUGGUUUGGGUUCAUGUUCCCCCAUACUGCAAUAUAGAAAGGAAAUCCUAUUUAGAUGCCAAUAUAUUGUAUUACAGUACAUAUAUGGAACCAUGUUACACAGGAGUUACCAAUGUUGUGUUAGUGAGAUUGUAAACAACCUAGACUGAAGAUGAACUACAAAGAUUACUGUUAAUCAUCCCAACAGUAUUUUAUCAACAUACUGCACUUCUGUAAAGUUAAUUUUCAGCUGUGGCACAGGCCAAAAUUCAAAGGAGCUCCUCUAAUGCUUAAUUAAUCAUAGGCAUAAUUUUUUUAUCCUUUAGCAAAGUAAUAGGAGAGAGAAUGAUGGAGAUAUGGAGCAAAUAAGUGUUUUUGGUGUUAGAACAGUAUAGCUAAAGUGUAUUAUUUUAUGUGUGCAAAUUACUUGUAAGUCAUUUUCAUUUUGAGGAUCUUAUUGUUGCUAAAUAGUUGUAAGGUCUCUUCAGCUUUAGAUAUUAGAGUUUGUUUAGCUUGUAUAUACUGUAUAUUUUAUUCACCAGUGAAUGGAAUCAGAACUGUAAAUGCUGAAAGUUUACAAAAUGCAGUUUUUUUCACAUUUGUUAUGAUUGAUUAAUUUGUGUACAUUUUUUAUAUAUUACAAAGGUCAGGUUUAGAAGCACAUUCAGGUCUUCUGUAAAUAUAAUAUGAUUACAGUACUACAUAAUUUAGUAUAACUAUCUUUCAAACAUAAUGCCAUAACUUGAAGGUUUGCAGUGACAAGAACUAAAACAGAAAUAAUCUUUAACUUCAUUUUUAUAAGAAAUAUGUAAACAGGAAAUAAUUUUUUGAGAUGUUUGUAGACUUUGGUUUUUCAAGCACUGAUAUAUUUUAUAUACAAAUCAAACAAAUAAUUAGUGUUAAAUUGUUUAUUUUAUGCCAUAAAUGAGUCACCCCUGAAGUAAGGAAAUGCCAAAUUUUUAGGUUCAGUAAGUACUUUGCAUAUACAGUACAGUCGAAUCCCAGUUAUCCGGUAUUCAAGCAACCAUUAGAUUCAACUAACAGGCACCAAAAUGAAAUAAUAAUACUGUACAGUAAUACUGUAAUUGAAAUAAUAAUUCCCCCAAUAUCAGUAGGGUUUGUAAGUUUGAAUACAGCACACAAUGGGAUGAGCUGCCAUAUUUAAUGCUAUGAUAAACAAUAAAAUUGAAACAUAGAAUAUAAAAUACAAUACUGUAGUACUGUACAUAUAUUAUGAAAAAAAUAUAACUUCUUCCUCACUCAAACCAUCAUCUGGGCAACAUAACAGUUCAAGCAGUCACCCAGCUGACACACAGAUAUGUGGCUGCCUUGCUGGCUGUGUGUAUAUCCUAAAAUGGAUUAGGGCAUGUUUACAGGAUGGGAAAUGGCGAGUAAGCAUUAGCAGCACUUAAUCCAAUUUGGGAAACAUCACUAGUGGAGUACCCCAAGGCUCAGUACUCGGACCAAACAUAAUCAUUAACUCGAAUACACUAGAUAGCUUCAAACAUAGGCUGGAUGGAUAUAUGAGUGAUAGGGGCUGGGUGUAAAUGGGACUGCUCAGUAUGGGUCAAUAGUUACUGUUUCCUCCACUCUUAUGUAUACCAUGACCUCACAUCGGGAGGGAGUGCGGCCACAUAUUUAUAGCCCAGUAACCCACAGCCUCCACACACAUUCACUUCCUACAUAUACACACUCAUGCUCUUCAUUUUUCUUUUUUUAUAGUUUUAUAUUAUAUUUUCUUUAUUUAUAAGCCACAUCGUCUAUAUUGAGUGGCAUACGUGCUAAAGAAGUCUGUUUUUCUGAGAACAUGAGUUUGUGAGGUCAGCCUGUAGCACUAUGCAUUGUAGGAUUUAAUGGGGGAUCCUAAGAUUGAGAUUCAACUAACAGGAAAAUUACUUUAUCUAGUACAGUACCUCUCGACCCCUGUAGGUGUCGGAUAACUGGGAUUCUACUGUAAUUAUGUAGAAGUUAUUAAAUUAUUUUCCAGCUGAAUGUCGUGGCUUGUGAAUUUACAUUGACUGAAGCAGAUUCUCUCAUGAGUAUACGUACAGUAAUUGGAAUAGCCAUCGGCAAAGGCAAGAAAUGGUAUUGUACCUGGGAUAAUGCGAGUACUGAGGCUGUGAUGAUGUUAUAUUUAGAGUCGAUUCAAUAUUUCAGAACAGAGAGCUGAUUAGACAUUGUUUAUUUUGUGGAAGAUUCAAUUGUUGAAUUGGAUAUCUUGUGUUAGGAGAUAGUCUUUUAUUUGUCCAUAUCUCAGAUGUACAGUACUGUGCUUUUCUGUACUUAUAAUCUAAGGAAGGAGUACAGGUCAAUGAAGUACAAGGUGAAGUGGUGCUUUGCUGUUUGUGUCAAACUUUUUUAUUGAGCAUGAUUAAUCUUGGCAAGGGUAUGUAGUGGCUCCAUAUGGCCCACUGCUUUAAACCAAAUAAGAGUCCUAACAUAUAAAUUAAUAAAUAUUGAUAAUUUCUUCCUGGGAAACAGUAUCUCUCAUAUACAAUACUGUACUUAAUAAAAACUUGACCAUAUUAUUAUUGUUUCUGUGCUUUGCAUUGCUGUGUAAUUGAGGCUAAUGGCAAUUAUUUACUGAAGACGGUGACUUAUAGCUUUUCAAAACUAAUUUAUCUUUUUUAGCUACUGCAAAUGUUAUGCCAGUUAUAAGUAUGAACAUAGUUCAUUUGCAAUGGAAAUAGAGCUUUGUUACCAUUAGUCUGAAUGUGUAUUGUCAUAAAGAUUUUGUGCAAAUUCAAUAUAUACAGAUAAUAUGCAUAUUUGUGUUACACUUGCUGUAUUUGGUCCAUAUUCAUAAAUGAUACAUGAAAAAGUGCUCACUAGCUUAGAUCAAUAAUGGCUGUUCCCAGACUUAAGUAUAAUGGAUUCAGAGGUACAGAGGGCAAGUCACCUAGCUAGGCCCCAACUGUCAGACUAAUUGUAUUUAAAACCUUAAAAUGAAAAUGAGGUCCUCACACUGUUAGAAGAAUUUUCAUUUUUGGUACAACAAAAAUGAGAAAUGAAUACUAAGGUUGCAGAGGUUCAGUACUGGUUGUCCCUGAGUUACAAACUCUCAUCUUAUGAACAACUGCACUUAAAAUGGGAUUCCAAUAUAUUCAUCACAAAAUCUGUUAUUAAAUUUGGUUUUGUACAUUAAUUUUAUAUUGUUUAACAUCACUUUAUUUACAGUAUUUAUGGAUAACCCGUUCGUAACUCGGGGACUGUCUUUAUCCCGUACUACUCAUCCCAGCAUAUUUUUAAAUACCAUGUAUGUACUGUAUAACUGUACACACUUGUACUGUAUAGUCCUCCUUAUACCUGGCACUUGUAUAAGAACUGAUGAGCCUUUUUAUUAUAUUUAAUUAGGUACACAGAAAUACCUGUACUCGGUAAAUAACACUCUUAAUACCAUUAAUGUUUCUGUAUUUAAUUUAGAAUUAUGAAUGGCUUCAGAUAACUAAAAUAUUGAAACAAACAUGAAUGACAGGUCUUAUGUGUGGCUAAGGUUCUCCAUUGACAGUUAUACUUUGAUUGUAUCAGAGGUGUGCACAGGUGGAAAAAUUUAGGUAGAUUUCCUCCACUACAACCAGCAGAGAAAUUUAGAGAUAGCUGUGAGCUGUGAUGAAGGCUCUAGUGUGGUGGCUUUUAUUCAGGGAUUUUUGUUCUGUUAUUUUACAAGUCAGAAAUGUAGUUAUAUUUUGCUGUUGAUGGUGUUUACAAUGAUUAGGUGCAGGGAUAACUUGGUUACAGAUUUUUUUUUCAGACUUUAUAUUUAUCAGUCUUGUAAAUAGAAUAAAAAAAUUAAGUAAUAAAUUUCCAGUGUUAGAGGAAAAAGUAAAUGAUUACAUCCACUCAAGAUUAGCUCAUACAUUGACAGGUUUUGUAGCAAAUAUUGUAUUUGGCAUUACAUACUUUAAUAAAUAAAUAAAGUACAGUUUCAGUUUCUACUGUGAUGUAAUUUUAGGCACAAAAGUAAAUGACUGAAUUGAUAUGAAAAAAAUGGUAAAUGAUCACAUUGUGGAUUUGUUUUUGCUCUGAAGAAAAUAAAGGAUGGAAAGUAAACUUGGUGUAGAACUAUUUUAUAUAGUAAAAACCCUCUUAAUCCGGACUAAUAGGGGAGAAAUCCAGUCGAUAUUAAGCGAAUUUCUGGAUAAAACUAUAUCCGGAAGGGGUUUAUUAAAUUCAGAUAAAGCUGAGAAAAAUCUGGAUGAAAAAUCCAAAUUGCCAUCUGGGGCACAGGAACUUCUAAUAUUGUAUUACUAGCUUUAUUUACAUGCCAGUUGUGCUGCUUUGUGGACUAAUUACAAUGUCUUCUAAAGGCAAGACAACUUAAAAAGGAAGUCAGAAGAGGACCAGAAAGAAGUUUGGCUUGAAGGACAAGCUAACAGUUCUGGAAGAUCACAAGAAAGGUGUGUCUGCAAAAGGUUUGAUGGAAAAAUAUGACUUGAAAAAUCAAUCGACUACGAUCUUAUCCGGAACAAAGAUAAGGUGAAGAUGGCCUCACGGGAAACUGAAGCAGCUGUUGGUCAACAAAUAGUGUUUUGUGUGUGAAAUGCUGCCUUUGGUGAUUUGGACCAGGCAGUGUACAAGUGGUACAGCCAACAGCAUGCUGAAGGUAUUUUGUUUAUUUUUGCCACCAGGUGGGAAGAUCGUGACUCAAUCUGGUUUAACAAAUUAGUCCAGAGUGGUUUGCCUGUCUGGAUAAAGCAGAAAUUUGGAUAAAAAGAAUCUGGAUUAAGAGGGUUUUUAUUGUAUACAGUAUGCUACUAUACAGUAUACUUAUAGAAUUUCAAUGUUCAAUGAAGUGGGCCCAACAGGUUAAAUUAGUACAGUAUCACAAAAUUGGUUAAUUAUGGACAGCUCACUGAAUUUAUGACCUUCCCUCAUGACAGAUACUGUAUUCAAGCUCUGUGUUAGCUUUUUGUUAUAUAGCUGGAUGGAUGUGUAGGUUUUUGAUGAUAAAACUACUGUACUAUGAUAGGAAUAUGAAAGCACAAUGUUUAAGCCAGUGACAAACAAGUUUUUGAAAUGUGCAUAGUGUGGCUGUGAUAAGAACAUGCUUCAUUACUUAUCUUUAAUUAGUGCAGUGUUACAGUAUAUGGUGACAGUAGGUUGCAGUACUUGAGAAAGGCUGGGACUUUGCUGACUGAGAGCUGAAGUGUGUCACUGCUGGUAGGCUGCAUUCAUAUACUGUAUUGGGGUGGUGGUUUGUGCUAGUUGGGAGUGGUCAUUAUUUCAUAUAAAUUUGCUAUGAGUUUUAGAGGAGCACGGAGUAUGUGAACCCUGAGCUGGGUUGACAGUACUUGUAUGAAUUUCUACUUGAAUUGCAUCAGGCAACACAACCCUCUUUUUGCCUAAACUUGAUCUAAGGUUUUGAGUUUGCAUGUCUAAGUGUACUGGAUUGUACAGUACAGUACUAAGUUUUUGCUGAUAUGAAUACUUGUACUAUUGUUUUUUUUCCUGAAGAAUAAUUUAUAAUUAGUGGAAUCAUUUCCAUUCACAACUGAUGGAUAACAAAAGAUUUUAGAGUGUGCAUCACAUUGAGUUGAUAAUAAUUCAUCAAACUGAAAAUGAAUUGUAAAAUAUUGGAAGCUUAUUCCCCCAGGUACCAUGCUGCCACUUUGGGUGUGGAAGGAUUAUCUUUUCACAUUUGUAUAUACAGGUAGAAAGAAAAACUUUAGGAGUUUCUCUGAUAUUUCUGAUAUGUUCCUGCUGUACAGUGUGUGUGUGUGUCAUUACAAGUGUAUUUCAUUAUGUGGAAGGUGAAUUUUCAAGGAAUUAUCUGAUGUGUCCUUUCAAUAUAGGUUUAAUUAAAAUGAUUUAGCUAUUUGCUGUUAGUGUAGUGUUUGUAUUGAUCAUCAUAGUAUACUCUCUUGAUGAAGCAAAUCGCCAUCUUAAUUCGUUGUUUCCUAAAAAUUUUGGUUUGCAAAUUUUAUCAGUUUCUUGAAAUGUACAUAAUGCCUAAGGUAGUCCUAGAAGUGCCUGGACCUGGUAGAUGUUAGUCAUAUGCGCUAAUUAUUUUGUGGUGGUAUUUAAUAUAUCAUAUCUUUAACAUGAUUGUGGAUGCUUUUGUAAGUUCAUCUGGUUCAUCAUGGGGUGUAUGUAUUGUAGAGUGACAGUGUAUAGGUACAUGAAUUGAUGUUCCUAUCUUUGAUUUUCUUCUAAGUCCUGUGAUCAGUUAGCAAGAAAUGAAGGACACUGAUGAUGUGAUUAUGUACUGAAUUUUUACAAUAUAACUGUAAAGGCUCAAGACAGUGCAGUUUAUUUUAUUAUGAAUAGUUUAUUAGCCAAACUGAAAAAUGUAAUUGUUAUAAUGAUGGAAGUACACCUAUAACACUAUUGUUCAUGCAGUAUGAGAUUUAUGUGAAGGUUUAAACUUGUGGAAAAGAAUUCUUGGUUCAUAGACUGACUGUGAAGUACCUGGUAAUAAUAAGUUAAGAAGUUAUUUUGUUCUGGAUGCUUGUAGAUUGAUCUUAACAUAAUUAGUGUAAGGAACCAUUAUAUUGGCCAAAUGAAUCCUGAUAAUGGGGGGGCUUCAUUCCUAUUUGACAUGUAAAUCAACUUUGUAUAAGAAUAAUAGGCAACAUUCUUUAUCAAGUAUAGGAAACAUUUAGGUUUAAGGAUCCCAAAAUAAGAAUUGCGUGUUUGACUUGGUGCAGUAUAUCACACUAAUGUGGGAAAAAAUGGCUCACUAGUGUUGCUGCCUGUGCCUUCAAAAUGUGACAAUUUAUUCCCAGUAAGUAAAUUCGAAAUACAGGUAUUGUCAAACGUCUUUAUUACUUCUCACACCACAAACAGUUUGUAACAGUGUAGGUACAGAACUUGGUUAUUCAGUCUUUUCAGUAACAUCAGCUUUGAUAAUCUAAUUAUAUUUCAUUAUACUGUUUGUGCAGAAUCCUUCUCAAAUCUCUAGCUACAAACUGUCUUGAAGUGUUAAAGAGGCCCAGCAACAGUGCUGAAGAAGCCGACUCUUUUAAAUCCCUAUUUUUGUAAAUGUAAUGGUUAACUAAAAACCAGGUACCAUUAAAAGAAAGAUUAUACCUGUACAGUAUAUACAAAGAGUACUGAAGAAUUCUGCAUGUUGUGAUGACCAUAUACUGUACCGUAAGUGAGAAAGUUGUUGGCUGCUUUCCCCUCAAGAGAUAAAAGUACACUUGAGACUAAUGAGCAUACGAAGCCAGUACAUACAAGGGGAAAGGAGUAAGUAAGGAAAUAGUAAAACGGAAGUAAAAAAAAUUUAACAAAAUAAAUGAUCUUUUAAGGGUGCCAUAUUAUGACAAAGAAUAAUAUCAUAGUUUUACCUCCUCCAAUAUUUGUAGGAAACAUUGUAAUGCAGUGUUGUAUCUUCCAGCAGUUGAUGCGGUACCUAAAAUAAGAAUUUUAGUAUAGAAGAAUUGGUGCCAGUACACACACAAUAAUUCCUGGCUUACAAGAGUCUAAAUUAUAUACAGCACUUCUAAUUGUAUUACUGUACACAGUCUUAGUUGAAGCUGAUGUAAUAGCACCAAAAGUAUUUUGAAAUAAUGUUUUUUUUUUUGUUUUUUUUUGCAGUUUUGAUAUAUUUUACAUUAACAUUCUGACUGUAUUUUGAAUCCGUGGUUUCAGAUUAAGUAUUAAUCAGAUAUUUAUGCUAAAGCAGAGAAAGCAAUGUGGGGUCACUACAUAAUGGAAGAAAAUUGCAGCAAUUCAGCAUUUUGCUAUGUGACAUUUAUUAAAUUAAUGCACUGA
Molecule: unclassified non-coding RNA, 9475 nt
Filed under: Homarus americanus (American lobster)
Lineage: Eukaryota; Metazoa; Arthropoda; Malacostraca; Decapoda; Nephropidae
Description: protein-L-isoaspartate(D-aspartate) O- methyltransferase-like, transcript variant X2
Source: RNAcentral